CUGCAACCCGGCUACAUGAAGCUGGAAUCGCUAGUAAUCGCGGAUCAGAAUGCCGCGGUGAAUACGUUCCCGGGUCUUGUACACACCGCCCGUCACACCAUGGGAGCCGGAAAUGCCCGAAGUCAGUGACCCAACCGCAAGGAGGGAGCUGCCGAAGGUGGAGCUGGUAACUGGGGUGAAGUCGUAACAAGGUAAC
This 196-nucleotide ribosomal RNA is filed under the name uncultured bacterium. Its description in RNAcentral is "partial 16S ribosomal RNA". It matches the Rfam family "Bacterial small subunit ribosomal RNA", at positions 1305 to 1500 of the family's 1533-position model. The record is from RNAcentral.